RNAcentral lists this ribosomal RNA (497 nucleotides) under uncultured bacterium. RNAcentral's name for it is "partial 16S ribosomal RNA". It matches the Rfam family "Bacterial small subunit ribosomal RNA", at positions 28 to 523 of the family's 1533-position model. The record is from RNAcentral.
GAUGAACGCUGGCGGCGUGCUUAACACAUGCAAGUCGAACGAAGCACCUUAUUCUGAUUUCUUCGGAAUGAAAAAUUUGGUGACUGAGUGGCGGACGGGUGAGUAACGCGUGGGUAACCUGCCUCAUACAGGGGGAUAACAGUUAGAAAUGACUGCUAAUACCGCAUAAGACCACAGCACCGCAUGGUGCAGGGGUAAGAACUCCGGUGGUAUGAGAUGGACCCGCGUCUGAUUAGGUAGUUGGUGGGGUAACGGCCUACCAAGCCGACGAUCAGGAGCCGACCUGAGAGGGUGACCGGCCACAUUGGGACUGAGACACGGCCCAAACUCCUACGGGAGGCAGCAGUGGGGAAUAUUGCACAAUGGGGGAAACCCUGAUGCAGCGACGCCGCGUGGGCGAUGAAGUAUUUCGGUAUGUAAAGCUCUAUCAGCAGGGAAGAAAAUGACGGUACCUGACUAAGAAGCACCGGCUAAAUACGUGCCAGCCGCCGCAGUAA